Molecule: microRNA precursor, 61 nt
Organism: Bison bison bison
Lineage: Eukaryota; Metazoa; Chordata; Mammalia; Artiodactyla; Bovidae
Source: Ensembl
CAAGAUGUUCUUUUGGGUUUUUCUGUAUGAUGUUAUGGAAACCCUGAAGGAACAUUUUGGU